RNAcentral lists this ribosomal RNA (254 nucleotides) under uncultured bacterium. RNAcentral describes it as "partial 16S ribosomal RNA". It matches the Rfam family "Bacterial small subunit ribosomal RNA", at positions 524 to 776 of the family's 1533-position model. The record is from RNAcentral.
UACGUAGGGUGCAGGCGUUAAUCGGAAUUACUGGGCGUAAAGCGUGCGCAGGCGGUCUAUUAAGACAGGUGUGAAAUCCCCGGGCUUAACCUGGGAACUGCAUUGGUGACUGGCAGGCUUUGAGUGUGGCAGAGGGAGGUAGAAUUCCACGUGUAGCAGUGAAAUGCGUAGAGAUGUGGAGGAAUACCGAUGGCGAAGGCAGCCUCCUGGGCCAACACUGACGCUCAUGCACGAAAGCGUGGGGAGCAAACAGG